This 442-nucleotide ribosomal RNA is filed under the name uncultured bacterium. Its description in RNAcentral is "partial 16S ribosomal RNA". It matches the Rfam family "Bacterial small subunit ribosomal RNA", at positions 338 to 795 of the family's 1533-position model. The record is from RNAcentral.
CCUACGGGAGGCAGCAGUGGGGAAUAUUGGGCAAUGGGCGCAAGCCUGACCCAGCAACGCCGCGUGAAGGAAGAAGGCUUUCGGGUUGUAAACUACUUUUAAGAGGGAAGAGCGGAAGACGGUAACUCAUGAAUAAGCCACGGCUAACUACGUGCCAGAAGCCCGGGUAAUACGUAGGUGGCAAGCGUUGUCCGGAUUUACUGGGUGUAAAGGGCGUGUAGCCGGGCUGACAAGUCAGAUGUGAAAUGCCGGGGCUCAACCACGGACCUGCAUUUGAUACUGAUGGUCUUGAGUAUCGGAGAGGCAGGUAGAAUUCCUGGUGUAGCGGUGAAAUGUGUAGAUAUUAGGAGGAACACCAGUGGCGAAGGCGGCCUGCUGGACGACAACUGACGGUGAGGCGCGAAAGCGUGGGGAGCAAACAGGAUUAGAUACCCUAGUAGUC